UUCUCCUGGAAAAAAGGGUGGUAAUGCCGGAUGCUCCGACUCCUCGCAUGGGGUGUCGGGAAAGAUUUCAUCGGUAUGGGAUGGGGUCGCGUCCUAUCAGGUAGUCGGCGGGGUAACGGCCCACCGAGCCUACGACGGGUAGCCGGCCUGAGAGGGCGACCGGCCACAUUGGGACUGAGAUACGGCCCAGACUCCUACGGGAGGCAGCAGUGGGGAAUAUUGCACAAUGGGCGCAAGCCUGAUGCAGCGACGCCGCGUGCGGGAUGACGGCCUUCGGGUUGUAAACCGCUUUUGAUCGGGAGCAAGCCUUCGGGUGAGUGUACCUUUCGAAUAAGCACCGGCUAACUACGUGCCAGCAGCCGCGGUAAUACGUAGGGUGCAAGCGUUAUCCGGAAUUAUUGGGCGUAAAGGGCUCGUAGGCGGUUCGUCGCGUCCGGUGUGAAAGUCCAUCGCUUAACGGUGGAUCUGCGCCGGGUACGGGCGGGCUGGAGUGCGGUAGGGGAGACUGGAAUUCCCGGUGUAACGGUGGAAUGUGUAGAUAUCGGAA
Molecule: ribosomal RNA, 547 nt
Filed under: Bifidobacterium pseudocatenulatum
Lineage: Bacteria; Bacillati; Actinomycetota; Actinomycetes; Bifidobacteriales; Bifidobacteriaceae
Description: bacterial SSU rRNA
Rfam family: Bacterial small subunit ribosomal RNA
Source: RNAcentral